Long non-coding RNA from Betta splendens (Siamese fighting fish), 4054 nucleotides. RefSeq lists it as uncharacterized. The record is from RefSeq and is a predicted model, not a curated record. The transcript is spliced from 4 exons. NCBI's taxonomy places the organism in Eukaryota, Metazoa, Chordata, Actinopteri, Anabantiformes, Osphronemidae.
CGUUCCGCGGCCUGAGCUUGAGUCAAGUAGAAACGGGAUAUUAACAAAUAUAUGAUUGGACAUGUACAGCAUAUAUAGCAACAUGUUACAACAUGUUAAGGUGGGUAAACAGGUAAACAUUAUGGGUGCGUUCACACCUUAAUUUGUUUACUGUGGUCUGAAUCAGUUGCUUAGUUUGUAACCUUGUAGCCAUUUCUCCUUGGUUGGUUCGGUUCCGUUCCACACAGAAAAAUCCAAAACCAAAAAACGUAACUUCAAUCUACGCGAGAACGUCCUCUCCGCUUAUUAUUGGGGGUCUCGUGCGUUGUUUUGGUGCGCACUCGAGUCAAACAACACGAACCGCACCAAGAGGGAAGACGACGUUCGAUUUAAUCGAACUAACUAAGUACGAACCUAUCCUGUGUUUGUCAGAGUGGACAAUAAAUGCGUUUCGAAUGUGCCAAAUUUUAUUCCACAAUUAUGCAGUUAUUCUACAAUCUCCAGAGUAAUAAAUUAAAACUGAUGGGUUGAAACACAAUGGCUCAUUUGGGUAAUAAAGUAGCCUUUUAUACAGUAAUUUGUAUAAAAGGGAUCGAGUUCACAUAACUCUGGUCCCAAUGUCAAAUAUAAUGUUAAUCACCACACAAUGUUAUAUAAUGUAUAAUGUUAAUGUCAAUAUGAGGAGCAAAUAAGAGUUUUGCUGACAUUUGUGAAGCUCAAGUCAACAGAUGAACGCCAUGACUAGUCUGUAACAGUUGGGUCUGUGUUGUCUUGCUGUUAGUGAAUGUGAGAGCUUGUUAUUAAGGUAUGAUCCAGUCAAUCACCAGGCUACCUGCAGUUUGUACACAAGUAUUACUGCCACAGUUGACUGUAAAGCUGCUCAGACAACGUGUGGCCAUUAGAUGUCUACACAGAUGAGUAAAACAUUAAACUCAUCAUUCAUACAGUAGCAAUGUGGUCAUUUGGCUGUUGUGGUCUGGUAGAGACAUGGUUCAUGUAAUAGAACACCUUAGUGGGGUAGAACAUGGGGGAGAGAGGCUGGUCGUGGUACAGGUCCUGGAACUGUGUUAAACUGUAAUUAAACUGUAGCAAUCCACGUCUGGACCUGGGUAACUAAACACCAUGUGUGAGCUUCACUCCCUUCCUCAGAGACAAAGCUGUGGUUCACCAGAAGAUAAGAAUGCACGGAACUCUGUCUAUUCCACAGGACACUGUUUCCCUCUCACAACAGAAUUGUAAGUUUAACAUAAACAACACACAUAUGGUUAAGUGUGACAUGAAAAGACCAUGGGUACUUUUAGGUGACACAACCUAAAUAUGUGCCUUUUUAAGUAUGUCCAAUGUUACAAUAGUUUAAUUAGUAUGCAUUUAUUCGCUUUAACCAUUCUGACUUCUCUGCUUAUUUGAGUGCCAAAGUGAUCGUUACAUGUGUAUUGUGGUAUAGUGUGACAGAACUUUGAGCUUGAUGAAAAGAGAAAAGCUUAGUUAUCCCAAAUUUAGGAUCAAAUAGCUUGAUACCCGAGCUGAAGGGGCGGAACGUUCUUUCACCACUGGUUGUGAAAGAAUGACCACUGCCCCUCUGGGGUAUUAAAGCAAACUGACUGUACAGUAUAUCACAUCACCUACACAAUCUAACAGUUUAAACAGUAUCACAGGGUUGUGAUGGUAUUUUAGGUGCAGUAUGGAGCAAACACAUUACAGUAUAGUCAUCAUUUAUAAUUCCCUACAGCAUGACUCCAUCACCUGUGACUUCAGUAAUGAACACAGUAGAAUCAUUACUGUUCUGACAGAUAAAGAACCUGGUCAAAGUGGAAUUCAUGGAUUGGAGCAGAUGUCAGUGUUCCUAAUAAAGUGAACAAAGCAGCCUCACCCAGUUCCUGUCCACCUUCCUCCUGAUUGGUCCACAGCCUGCACCAAACAUCCCUCCAAUUUCUCUUUAGUCUGACUGAGGGAGGUAUUUGUUCUACAAUUUUCACUGUUGUUGUACUGUCACUCUGUCAGUAAUAACCUGCUGCAUCCUUAGUCAGAACUCCACACAUGAUUAUUGAAUGAUUUAUUUGAAAACUAACUGUUUUUCAGUAUAAGAUGAUGUACGCACAGAUCUGGUUAUGUACGCACAGAUCUGGUUACGCACACACGCAUCUAGUUACUCACACACAGCUUGGUUUACGCACACACAAAUGUAAUCUGGCCCUAAUUUGACUCCAUAUCCAUGGCCUUAUCUUAUUUUCCAUGAUAAACAUGUACAAACAAAAAAAUUAAUUAAGAUUUCCCCACAUAUUUACAUAUGGUCUCCGGGUCAUUCUGACCCCCAUAUACAAAUGAACAUAGAGAUGCACAUAUUAAGCACAGAAAAGCUGUUAGAUCUCAUAUUCUUGCAGUCCUGAAACUAUGUCAUCUAUCCAGACACUGAAAGAGGCCCACAGACAGAGAUAAAUAGGACAGAUGGAAUGUGGAAGUGGAAUGGAAGUGAGCACAACAAUAUCUGUGAGAUUUCUUUCACAUUUUACAACCUGGGACAGGAGCUCUCGAAGAAAGCUAAAAAUGGUUGGAACAAUCUAAAAAACGAGUCAAACUUCUAUUAUAAAUUGUGCUCUAAUAAGGCUGGUUGCAAAAAUUAAACAAAUGUGUUAUCUCUACUGUCUGUAAUUGAGAUAAAAGUCAUAUAUGUUAAUUGUUUAUGAAGUAGUAUUUAUAUUUUUAAUUGAUUUUAACACCCCAAAUAUGGGUCGGCCACCAGAGUGUCCCAAAAGUGAAGACCACAGUCACUGAAACACUGUAGAAUGCACUGAAUCCCUUUUGAUCAGGUAUCGACAAAGUGGUCGACACCACACUCGUGACUAAGCAGGAUGCUCCAACAGCUUUGCUUUGGUGGCAGGGUAUUCUGGUGAGUGACCUGACCUCGUGAGCUGCCUGACGUGUCCUUCAUUCUGCAAAGGUCAAAAAAUAGUAAUUGACAGUCGUCACCAACAACACAGACUUUGGCUGAAUAAAUCAUUGUAUCAGUGAAUUACGUUGAUAUUGCACAUCAGUGUCUGUCAAAACAUCACCACAAUCCUUCAAGCGUUCAAGUUUUUCGAUGUUGCGCUACAAGUCCUCUUGGGUGUUUUAUUGAGAAAGUCCUGCAACUGGCCCCGGCCCCUGUGUCCUUUUCUCUUAUUUCAUUGUCCAGGUGGGGACAAGGAGAAUGAGCAAAUUAGUAAGUAGCAAGUACAAUUUUUUUCAUGUAAGGACUUACUGCACCAAUGAAAAGACGUUAAUCAAUGUUUAUUUUAAAUACAAAUAAUAAAUGGCACACAACUGACCAAAAACCCCCUACAAACUAGUGGACUUAUCAGACCAGGCUAAUCAGACUGAGAACAUGUAAGCAACUGAUGUAAAAACACCUCUGUAUCGAUUCAAACAGUGAAUUUUUGGCAGCAGCGUCUACCUUUAUUUUGCCACAAGAGGGCGAACAUUAGCUUUGUUCUACACAAGUCUGUCCAGUAAAAGUCUGGAUGUGGAUUCCUUUAAAAUGUUUGGUGAGAAUAGUGCGAAAUAAUAGCUUUAAAUAUAUUCACAUUCGGUCCAUAAAACACACUGAUACAUGUAAUAAAAGGCUGAGAGCCGUGGAGAGUUGAGUCAUGAUCAUGAUGUAAAGUUGGUCAUAGGAUGCUAAUGUUCUAUAAUUCUGCUUUGGCAUUUCUAGUUUUACCACCUUUAAUUGUAUUUUCUGAUAUUAUUUUAUUUGUAUAUAUUAUUUCAUUUCCAGAUUCAAUAAUCUCAAAAAUAAAAAAGUGAGGAUGUGACACCGUGUGUUCUUUUCUCCGACGCAGGUUGAAUCUUUUUCCUGAUCAGCACUGAAGAUGUAUGCUUUUGCUAAGAUAAGUAUCUCCUCACAGUCCUGCCCUGAUCUUCCUGUCACCAACUUGCAUCCCCUCCAACUCAUCAUCGGAAAAGGGCUCUCUUGUCUGGAUUUACAGUUCUCCUAUUCUCUUCCGAUUUCUCUGUGGAUGUUUUUUCUCCACUGCGAAGUCGCUCUGCAUCAGACUGGGCUGAUGCGGUGGCCUGCUCCUUUGCCUUCCGGCUCCGCUUC